This 1250-nucleotide ribosomal RNA is filed under the name Graffilla buccinicola. Its description in RNAcentral is "eukaryotic LSU rRNA". It matches the Rfam family "Eukaryotic large subunit ribosomal RNA", at positions 386 to 1445 of the family's 3401-position model. The record is from RNAcentral. Lineage: Eukaryota; Metazoa; Platyhelminthes; Rhabdocoela; Graffillidae.
CGAGUAGAGCCGAAAGGGGCCUGAUGGUACAAACCAGUUUGUCAUGAUACUUCUACUAAGUGAGUUUUGUAGUCUCGUAGUAGUCGAUAAUUUGUGGCAAAUUGGCUAGAGUUUCCGCAGGCCUUAACCACGAACAAUGUUGCUGUCAAAGCACUACCAUCGGUUUAAGGUAGCGUAACGUUAUUGUUACGUGAUGUGGACUGAUGUGGUUGUCUUUGCGAUAUUGUGUGAAUGUGUACGAUACUAUGCUGCCUUUUAGUUGGCAAUAUAUGCUGGGGCUGUGUGUCUCGGCUGUGUCAGACUGAUUCUUCAGAUUGUCACAGUUUGGGAUGUGCACCCUCAGCCGCUAUGUUUAGUGUCGCUAUUCUGUGGUUCAUAAAGUAGGUAGUCUACUCGACCCGUCUUGAAACACGGACCAAGAAGUUCAAGUUAUGCGCGAGUCAAUGAGUCGUACGAAACUCAAAGGCGUAGUGAAAGUAAAGGCCUCGUUAUUGAGGUUGAGGUGAGAUCCUUGCUUUUGCCCCUUUCUUGGGGCGAGUGAGGCGCAUCACCGGCUCGCUCUUAACUAUUUUAGUGGAGCGAAGCUAGAGCGCAUAGCCUGAGACCCGAAAGAUGGUGAUCUAUACUUGUGUAGGCUGAAGCCAGAAGAAAUUCUGGUGGAAGGCCGUAGCGAUUCUGACGUGCAAAUCGAUCGUCAAACAUGAGUAUAGGGGCGAAAGACUUAUCGAACCAUCUAGUAGCUGGUUCCUCCUGAAGUUUCCCUCAGGAUAGCUAGCCUUAUAAAGGUGUUUUAUCCGGUAAAGCAAAUGAUUAGAAGUACCGGGAGGAGUAUUUUUCUCAACUUAUUCUCAAACUUUAAAUGGGUAAGGGCUUCACUCGCUUUAUUUGGAGUGGAGCAUUAAAACCUUAAGGCUAAGUGGGCCAUUUUUGGUAAGCAGAACUGGCGCUGUGGGAUGAACCAAACGCCAAGUUUAGGUGCCUAAAGAAAAGCUUAUGUGACACCACAAAAGGCGUUAGUUGAUCUAGACAGUUAGACGGUGGCCACGGAAGUUGGAAUCCGCUAAGGAGUGUGUAACAACUCACUAACCGAAUCAACUAGCCCUGAAAAUGGAUGGCGCUGUAGCUUUUUACCUAUACUUGGCUGUAGUGGUACAGUCGGCUUUUUUCCUAUGUACAUCACUACAAGUAAGGAGGUGACGUGGUAGCAUUGAAGCUGCGGUUGUAAAACCGGGUGGAGCUGCCACGUGUAC